ACUGAAUAGAUACCCGGGUAGUCCACGCCCUAAACGAUGGAUACUAGGCGUAGGAGGUAUCGACCCCUCCUGUGCCGCAGCUAAACGCACUAAGUAUCCCGCCUGGGGAGUACGGCCGCAAGGUUGAAACUCAAAUGAAUUGACGGGGGACCCGCACAAGCGGUGGAGCAUGUGGAUUAAUUCGAUACUAACCGAAGAACCUUACCCAGACUUGACAUCGAUCGCAAAGCCUAGAAAUAGGCUCCUCCCCCACAAGGGGACGUGAAGACACUUGUUGCAUGGCUGUCGUCAGCUCGUGCCGUGAGGUGUACGGUUAAGUCCGCCAACGAGCGCAACCCACGUCCUGUGUUACCAGCGAGAGAGUCGGGCACUCACAGGAGACCGCCGGUGUAAGACCGGAGGAAGGUGUGGAUGACGUCAAGUCAGCAUGGCAGUUACGUCUGGGCGUUCACACAUGCUACAAUGGGCGCAACAGA
This 476-nucleotide ribosomal RNA is filed under the name uncultured bacterium. RNAcentral describes it as "bacterial SSU rRNA". It matches the Rfam family "Bacterial small subunit ribosomal RNA", at positions 772 to 1243 of the family's 1533-position model. The record is from RNAcentral.